GACGAACGCUGGCGGCGUGCCUAAUACAUGCAAGUCGAGCGAAGUUUUUCUGGUGCUUGCACUAGAAAAACUUAGCGGCGAACGGGUGAGUAACACGUAAAGAACCUGCCUCAUAGACGGGGACAACUAUUGGAAACGAUAGCUAAUACCGGAUAACAGCAUAAAUCGCAUGAUAUAUGUUUAAAAGUUGGUUUCGGCUAACACUAUGAGAUGGCUUUGCGGUGCAUUAGCUAGUUGGUGGGGUAAAGGCCUACCAAGGCGACGAUGCAUAGCCGACCUGAGAGGGUGAUCGGCCACACUGGGACUGAGACACGGCCCAGACUCCUACGGGAGGCAGCAGUAGGGAAUCUUCCGCAAUGGGCGAAAGCCUGACGGAGCAACGCCGCGUGAGUGAAGAAGGAUUUCGGUUCGUAAAGCUCUGUUGUUAGGGAAGAAUGAUUGUAUAGUAACUAUAUACAGUAGAGACGGUACCUAACCAGAAAGCCACGGCUAACUACGUGCCAGCAGCCGCGGUAAUACGUAGGUGGCAAGCGUUGUCCGGAAUUAUUGGGCGUAAAGCGCGCGCAGGUGGUUUAAUAAGCCUGAUGUGAAAGCCCACGGCUCAACCGUGGAGGGUCAUUGGAAACUGUUAAACUUGAGUGCAGGAGAGAAAAGUGGAAUUCCUAGUGUAGCGGUGAAAUGCGUAGAGAUUAGGAGGAACACCAGUGGCGAAGGCGGCUUUUUGGCCUGUAACUGACACUGAGGCGCGAAAGCGUGGGGAGCAAACAGG
Molecule: ribosomal RNA, 769 nt
Filed under: uncultured bacterium
Lineage: Bacteria
Description: bacterial SSU rRNA
Rfam family: Bacterial small subunit ribosomal RNA
Source: RNAcentral